GACGAACGCUGGCGGCGUGCUUAACACAUGCAAGUCGUACGGAAAGGCCCGGCUUUUGUGGGGUGCUCGAGUGGCGAACGGGUGAGUAACACGUGAGUAACCUGCCCUUGACUUUGGGAUAACUUCAGGAAACUGGGGCUAAUAUAGGAUAGGAGCUCCUGCUGCAUGGGGGGGGUUGGAAAGUUUCGGCGGUUGGGGAUGGACUCGCGGCUUAUCAGCUUGUUGGGGUGGUAGUGGCUGACGAAGGCUAUGACGGGUAGCCGGCCUGGGAGGGUGACCGGCCACAUUGGGACUGAGAUACGGACCAGACUCCUACGGUAGGCAGCAGUGGGGAAUAUUGCACAAUGGGCGGAAGCCUGAUGCAGCAACGCCGCGUGCGUGAUGACGGCCUUCGGGUUGUAAACCGCUUUCGCCUGUGACGAAGCGUGAGUGACGGUAAUGGGUAAAGAAGCACCGGCUAACUACGUG
This 468-nucleotide ribosomal RNA is filed under the name uncultured bacterium. Its description in RNAcentral is "partial 16S ribosomal RNA". It matches the Rfam family "Bacterial small subunit ribosomal RNA", at positions 28 to 507 of the family's 1533-position model. The record is from RNAcentral.